GAAAUGCGAUAAGUAGUGUGAAUUGCAGAAUUCAGUGAAUCAUCGAAUCUUUGAACGCACAUUGCGCCCCUUGGUAUUCCAUGGGGCAUGCCUGUUCGAGCGUCAUCUACACCCUCAAGCUCUGCUUGGUGUUGGGCGUCUUUGUCCCGCCUCCGCGCGCGGACUCGCCCCAAAUUCAUUGGCAGCGGUCCUUGCCUCCUCUCGCGCAGCACAUUGCGCUUCUCGAGGUGUUGCGGCCCGCGUCCAGAAAGCAAUCGUUACCGUCUUUGACCUCGGAUCAGGUAGGGAUACCCGCUGAACUUAAGA
RNAcentral lists this unclassified non-coding RNA (306 nucleotides) under plant metagenome. Its description in RNAcentral is "partial contains 5.8S ribosomal RNA, internal transcribed spacer 2, and large subunit ribosomal RNA". The stretch from base 1 to 105 matches the Rfam family "5.8S ribosomal RNA", at positions 50 to 154 of the family's 154-position model. The record is from RNAcentral.